CUUCUCCUCCACCUCCUUAUGAGUACAAAUCUCCACCACCUCCAUCACCUUCUCCACCACCUCCUUAUGUGUAUAAGUCUCCACCACCUCCACCAAAGCAUGAGGAGAAGCCUUAUGAAUACAAGUCUCCACCACCACCACCGAAGGAGAAGCCUUAUGAAUACAAGUCUCCACCACCACCACCGAAAGAGAAGCCUUAUGAAUACAAGUCUCCACCACCUCCAUCACCUUCUCCACCACCUCCUUAUGUGUAUAAGUCUCCACCACCUCCACCAAAGCAUGAGGAGAAGCCUUAUGAAUACAAGUCUCCACCACCACCACCGAAGGAGAAGCCUUAUGAAUACAAGUCUCCACCACCACCACCGAAAGAGAAGCCUUAUGAAUACAAGUCUCCACCACCUCCAUCACCUUCUCCACCACCUCCUUAUGUGUAUAAGUCUCCUCCACCUCCACCAAAGCAUGAGGAGAAGCCUUAUGAAUACAAGUCUCCACCACCACCACCGAAGGAGAAGCCUUAUGAAUACAAGUCUCCACCACCUCCAUCUCCAUCACCACCUCCACCAUACUACUAUAAAUCUCCACCACCUCCAUCACCAUCACCACCACCUCCAUACUACUACAAGUCCCCACCACCACCACCAAAGCAUGAAGAACAACCACCAUAUUACUACAAGUCACCUCCUCCUCCAUCUCCAUCACCACCUCCUCCAUACUACUACAAGUCCCCACCACCUCCUUCACCAUCACCACCACCUCCAUACUACUACAAGUCUCCACCACCACCAAAACACGUAGAGCAACCCCCAUACUACUACAAGUCUCCUCCACCUCCAUCACCCUCACCACCACCACCUUACUACUAUAAAUCUCCACCACCACCUUCACCAUCUCCACCACCUCCUUACUACUACAAGUCCCCACCACCUCCAUCUCCAUCACCACCUCCUCCAUACUACUACAAAUCUCCACCACCACCACCAAAGCAUGAAGAACAACCCCCAUACUACUACAAGUCUCCACCACCACCUUCACCAUCUCCUCCACCACCUUACUACUACAAAUCUCCACCACCACCCCCACAUUACGUCUCACCACCAUACUACUACAAAUCUCCACCACCACCAGUGAAGUCUCCUCCCUACUACUACCAUUCUCCUCCACCACCAACUCCUUACUACCCCCACCCCCACCCACAUCCGCUCAUAGUCAGGGUGGUCGGAAAAGUUUACUGCUACAGAUGCUAUGACUCAAGCUACCCAGAGAAAUCACAUGGCAAGAAACAUCUCGAAGGUAAAUUAAUUCAUACAUUAAUGCAUUUAUUAAUUGAUUUAUUUUCAAUUUCGUAUGUUUUAUUUAUUUCUUAGUUUCAAAUUUUUGUGGAACUUUGUCAUGUGAUUUAGAGGUUAAAAUAAGAUGUUUAUGAAUAUUUUAAUUCAAAUAGACGUAAACAUAAUAAUUAAAGGAAUCUGAAGUUAUUCUUCUGGAAAUUUUUAAAAAAAUAUUUAAAAGAUUAUAAAAAUAAACAAAGCCUGUUUUUGUUUCUUAUAUGUUUGAAAAUAAAUUAUGACUGUAUUGUCUGUCUAUGUAAUAUUUUUAUAUAAUUUAAUAUUCAAUUCAUAAUAAUUUAAUGAUAAAAACUAUUGUUAUAAAUUACUCUAAAAUUAUAGCUUUCCUUAUUAAGGGCUGCACCAUAUAUGGAUGCACAAGUCAACAUAAGUAGUGAACACAUAAGUCAUGUCUAUGGAAAAACUGUUUUUUUUUAUUAAAUUAAUUCAUGGAAAGACAAAAUUAGUUAUAAAAUAGUUGAUGUCUAAAUAGAAAAAAGAUAUUUUGAUUGACUUUUUAGCAAAAAAGAAACUAAAUUUUCAAUUAUUGCACAUGGAGCAGGUGCUACUGUGGAAGUGACUUGCAAGGAGGGUGAAAAGGAAAUCACUGUCUAUGGAAAGACCAAAAACAACGGCAAAUUUGCUGUCACUGUUGAUGGGUUUGAUUAUGGCAAAUACGGAGCCAAGGCAUGCAUUGCCAAGCUUCAUGCCCCACCCAAGGAUUCAUCAUGCAACAUACCCAUGAGUGUACAUGAUGGCAUCAAGGGUGCUGUGCUCAAGGUCAAGUCAGAGGACAAGUAUGAGGUUGUGCUAAGAGCUAAGCCAUUUGGUUAUGGUUCAAAGAAACCUUACAAGAAGUGUGAAAAGUACACUCCUAAGCCUCCGACUCAUCCGUACAAGCCACCACCGUACUACUAUAAGUCUCCACCUCCACCGGCUCCCACUUACGUUUACAAGUCACCACCUCCACCAUCACCAACUUAUGUUUACAAGUCACCUCCACCUCCUGUGUACUACUACAAGUCUCCACCACCACCAAAGCAUGUGGAACAACCCCCAUACUACUAUAAGUCUCCACCUCCACCGGCUCCCACUUAUGUUUACAAGUCACCACCUCCACCAUCGCCGACUUAUGUUUACAAGUCACCUCCACCACCUGUGUACUACUACAAAUCACCACCUCCUCCCACUUAUGUCUACAAGUCUCCACCACCACCAAAGCAUGUAGAGCAGCCCCCGUACUACUACAAAUCUCCUCCACCACCAUCGCCAUCUCCUCCUCCACCAUACUAUUACAAGUCCCCACCACCACCAGUUCACUCUCCACCACCACCAUACUACUACAAGUCCCCACCACCACCAAAACAUGUGGAGCAACCUCCAUACUACUACAAAUCUCCUCCUCCACCAUCGCCAUCUCCUCCACCACCAUACUACUACAAAUCCCCACCACCACCAAAACAUGUAGAAGAGCCCCCAUACUACUACAAAUCUCCUCCACCACCAUCACCAUCUCCUCCUCCACNNNNNNNNNNNNNNNNNNNNNNNNNNNNNNNNNNNNNNNNNNNNNNNNNNNNNNNNNNNNNNNNNNNNNNNNNNNNNNNNNNNNNNNNNNNNNNNNNNNNGAGCAACCUCCAUACUACUACAAAUCUCCUCCUCCACCAUCGCCAUCUCCUCCACCACCAUACUACUACAAAUCCCCACCACCACCAAAACAUGUAGAAGAGCCCCCAUACUACUACAAAUCUCCUCCACCACCAUCACCAUCUCCUCCUCCACCAUACUACUACAAGUCCCCACCACCGCCAAAACAUGUGGAGCAACCUCCAUACUACUACAAAUCACCCCCACCACCAUCGCCAUCUCCUCCUCCACCAUACUACUACAAGUCCCCACCACCACCGAAGCAUGUAGAGGAGCCCCCAUACUACUACAAGUCUCCCCCACCACCAUCGCCAUCUCCUCCUCCACCAUACUAUUACAAAUCUCCUCCACCACCAUCACCAUCUCCUCCUCCACCAUACUACUACAAGUCCCCACCACCACCGAAACAUGUAGAGGAGCCCCCAUACAUCUACAAAUCUCCUCCACCACCAUCGCCAUCUCUUCCUCCACCAUACUACUACAAGUCCCCACCACCACCGAAGCAUGUAGAGGAGCCCCCAUACUACUACAAGUCUCCCCCACCACCAUCGCCAUCUCCUCCUCCACCAUACUAUUNNNNNNNNNNNNNNNNNNNNNNNNNNNNNNNNNNNNNNNNNNNNNNNNNNNNNNNNNNNNNNNNNNNNNNNNNNNNNNNNNNNNNNNNNNNNNNNNNNNNCGCCAUCUCCUCCUCCACCAUACUACUACAAGUCCCCACCACCACCGAAACAUGUAGAGGAGCCCCCAUACAUCUACAAAUCUCCUCCACCACCAUCGCCAUCUCCUCCACCACCAUACUAUUACAAGUCCCCACCACCACUAGUCCAUUCCCCACCACCACCAUACUACUACAAGUCUCCACCACCACCAGUCCACUCCCCACCCCCACCAUACUAUUACAAGUCUCCACCACCACCUUCUCCUUCACCACCUCCACCAUACUAUUACAAGUCCCCACCACCACCAAAACACGUAGAGGAGCCCCCAUACAUUUACAAAUCUCCUCCACCACCAUCACCAUCUCCUCCUCCACCAUAUUAUUACAAGUCCCCACCACCACCAGUCCACUCUCCACCACCACCAUACUAUUACAAAUCCCCUCCUCCGCCAUCGCCAUCUCCUCCUCCACCAUACUACUACAAAUCCCCACCACCACCAGUCCACUCUCCACCCCCACCAUACUACUACAAAUCCCCACCACCACCAGUUCACUCUCCACCCCCACCAUACUACUACAAAUCCCCACCACCACCAUCUCCUUCACCACCUCCACCAUACUACUACAAAUCACCCCCACCUCCAGUGAAGGCUCCAGCACCUACCUACCAUUACAACUCCCCUCCUCCACCAUCACCAUCUCCUCCUCCCCCAUACUACUACAAAUCUCCCCCACCACCAGUCCACUCUCCCCCACCACCAUACUACUACAAAUCUCCACCUCUUCCAUCUCCCUCACCACCUCCUCCAUACUACUACCACUCACCUCCCCCACCAGUGAAAUCACCUCCACCUCCAGUCUACAUCUACGCUUCUCCUCCACCACCAACACCCUACUAGAUCUAAAAAGAUCGACCACACACCGUUCAUGUAAGUAAUAUUUUAUUAAAUCAAUAGUUAAGUAUAAAUUAUCAU
RNAcentral lists this long non-coding RNA (4598 nucleotides) under Gossypium raimondii (Peruvian cotton). RNAcentral's name for it is "long non-coding RNA (GRAI_LNC003361)". Lineage: Eukaryota; Viridiplantae; Streptophyta; Magnoliopsida; Malvales; Malvaceae. The record is from RNAcentral.